ACAAAAAAACUCUCAGCACAGCCCAGCCCAAGGCCUGCUGCUCCGCGCGCUCGCGCGAGCCGGCCUCUCCUCGGCCUGGGCCGCCGGCCUCCUCCCCUUUGGCCCAGAAGCCCAGCACCGCUAGGGUUUAACUCGUGACCGUCGGAUCAGAUCCGACGGCCCAGCGCGCGAUCCGCCCGAGCAAAAACGGCCGAUGCGGUGAGGGGGCGAGAGGGAACACUAGUCAUUUCCCCUCUCGCGCGUCGCUCGCCUCUCUCGCUCUCCGCAUCUUUCUCUCCCGCACGACGGCAGCGAGCGCAAGGAGAGGAUGCCAUGCCCGGCGGCUUGCCGGUGACGACGGCGAGGAGCAGCACCAGCGUGACUAGCUCCUUCUCUGUCUCUUUCUUUCCUGUUUCCCUUCUUCUUUCUCUUCUUCUGUCCCGUCGGCGCCGUCUCUGUCGAGGAAAAAAGGGCAGCGCCCUGGUGGGCCGCUCCGGCCGCCGUGGACGGCGGCGAGUGCCACUGCGCCGCGCGAGCCGUUCCCCUUCCCUCUCUUCUUUCUAUCCACCAGUGCCCCAGCGCAAGAGAGACUCCUCUGCUCCCCUUCGCGCGAGCGACGGCGGUUUCCAGAUGCGGCGCCCCCGCUGACCCCUUUGCCGGCGUGCGCGAGCACCUCUAGGGUGAACGCGCCGCCGUCAAACGGCUCGUUGGUGGUGCCCUUUGCCCUAGUGGGGGUAUGUUCUUCGUCUGAAUGGCUCAGCUUGUCGAUGCCCGUCUAGAUCGAGAGGAACGGCGCGUCCUUGCGGCGGCGCAACUUUUUCGACGAGGAGUUCUUUUCCCUCUUUCUCUGUUCGAGUUAGGGUUCUUGGAUGAAUCUUUUUUCUGUGAUUUCUUUGUACCGAAAAUAAUAUAGAUCCUAGCCUUGUCUGAUUCCAUUGAUAGAUGAUGUGGAUCACUAGGCUAGAUUAGAUCGGUGGUUUGCGGUGGUUUACCUUCUCCAUAGGUGGAUGAACCCGCAAAAGUGGCCAUGGUGGAUGGCUACGGCGGUGAUGGCAGAGAGUAGUGGGCGAAGUGGUGGCGGCGCUUGCCAUCAGCACUGCACUAACCCUAGAUCGGUAGGAGAUUAGGUGGGGUGUACGGCGCUGCGACGAACCUCGUGAUGCGAGCCGCCGGCCCCCACCUCUUUAUAUAGUGCAGGUGACAGGGGCCCGUCACCCAUAGUGGGUUGAGCGCCCGCGAUCAGGGCGCGGAUCUAAGAGCCCGGUGGGCCGUCGGGCCCACACGGUGGAGAUCACCCUAACAUCAACUUCAUUGUGGAUAUGUAUUUCUACCUUUUCCAGUUUAUGAUAGCUAAUCUGUGAGGCUCCGUGGGCAAUCCAUCCAUUUGCAGUGUAUUAGACGAACAACCCAAUCAUGGCUAGAAUAUAUAUUGCUCCUACAGAACUCCUAACCAAGUUUAUAUCUCAUGAUUUAUCUUCUUUCUCUUCGUACUACAAAUCUGAUUGUGAUGAAGCUUCCUAAGAAUUAUAUAUUCCGCACUGAGGGAUCUAGGAACAAGUGACCAACUUCUGUAUGUGUGUUAUUAUGUUGGACAACAAUCAUACCUUCUUGAUCGUAGAUUACAUGCUUAUCCUGUAGUAUACUCUACCAUUUGUAUACCUCUUAAAAAAAUGAUCAACAGGGAGACUCCCCGGUUACAUUACUCAGGAAGGAGGCAUAUCCUUUAAAGUUAAUGUCAACAAUUCAUAAUUUUAGUUUUCUUAGUAGAUUAGAUUCUGGUUUGUCAUAUUGGUACAAGGAAGAAUCUAGGUUCAGAAUUCUGUUGGACACCUUCCUCAUAUUGAUUUGUGGGUUGGUAUAAUGCCCAACUGUCAAUGGCUUCUCCAGUGGACGGAUUCCAGUGUUAGUGCCUUCAGAAAUAUCUGUUGUUGGUCUACUGUUGUGUUUACAAUUCAGUAAUUAGAUCCCUUCUUUCCUUUAUUUUUGCACUAACUGCCUCUUCUCUUUGUACUGCAAGAGCAUAACGUCAAAAGCGAGGACAGGGUUUGACGGCCAUAAUAUGUGUAGGUUUUUUUAGAAAAGGAGGAUGACCCUCGGCCUUUGCAUCUGAGCGAUGCAUACGGCUAUUUUAUUAAUUAUUCUCACAAGACAUUACAAAGUCAUACAACAGUAAGACUAAAGCCGCCGUCUAAGCAACAAACUGUCGCUACACCUAUCCAGUUGAUGAAGGGGCGCAGAUAGCCUGGGCCUAAUACCAAACAAACAUCGCAGCCAAGCCUAACAUCUAAGACCUGAGACCCCAACCUAGCCACUUGUCGGGUCUGGGGCACACACUGGUCCGGCGUGCUCUCAGAGGCCGCCGCCGCCAACUGCCACCGCUCCAUCUUCAGAACUGUACUGAUGCAUCAACCUUGCUCGGUCCAGCUAUCGUCGACGCCACCAUGGCGCCCAACGGCACCUUCUCCCUGCGCGCAAACAGCUGUACCCGUCGCGGUCGCCACUGAUACACCUCAGCGGCAUGCUGCCACGUACCACCAGCCGACACAGCUUGAAGCCCUUGGAGGAUCUGUCGUGCGUAGCACCUGCCAACCAGGCAUGACCAAGCGUAGCACCUGUCCGUCAGGCAUGACUUGACAUCUCCACCAAAGCUAUUGCAAGACGAAGCCGCUCCACCUCCUGCCCCUACUUCCAGCGUUGCUCCACAAAAUGACGCUCCUAAGAGAGAAACGACACCGCAGUGCCGCCAUCGUCCAGUCUGGAACACCAGAUCCUAGAGUUUCCCCCAGAGCAAUACAAGUGGGUCGACGGUAGUCACAUGACGAUGCCUUCAUCAAGGUAACGACGUGGAACGCCGCCAUCGCCCGCCGUCGGCUCGGUUUUCACCGGCAACUACGUCUCCCCGACUCGCAGCUGGUGCCAGAUGACGGAUCCCGAGAUCCGAACACCCAGCCUCAGGCCGACCACCUCUGACGGAAGAGAUGACCACCACCGCCGGCUGCACUGGUCAGAACAAAUCUGAUCGUAGGUGCCGCCGCCGAGACCACCAGGCCCUCCACGCCGCCAUCGCCGAUCUGAAGGCAGCAUGCACGCCACCGUAGCCAAGCCGGCCGCCGUCGACCGCAGCCGCCGCCGCCGCCCGAAGGGCCAUCCGCAGCGCCCGCAGCCCUGGCCUCUGCCGCGCCAAGCCGUCGCCGUCCGAGGACGGGCCGGCCUGCCGCCGCCUGCCGCCAUCCGCCGCGCCGCAGAUCCCAGAUCGGUCGCGCCACCACACGCCUUGGGGUCCUCCCUACCCCGGAGACGCGCGAGAGAGGAGAUCUCCCGCCACCGCCGCCGGGCCCCGGGCUUAGCCCGGCGGCGUCUUCCGGCAGCGGCGGAGGGAGGGGAGGAGGGAGUGUGCGGCGGCGGCUAGGUUUCUAGCCGCCCGAGUCGCCCCAGGGGGAGGACGACGUGGGCGUUACCUCUAUAAUAUGUGUACCGAAAAAGGCUUUCGCCCCGCUUUAUAAAUAAAGCACCCACCAAGCACAAAGUAUCAAGGUAACAACAGAACACAGCGCACACACAAACGCAACGCCACCGCAAGUCAGGAACCACACCAACAAGCACGGACACACACACAAUACCCAAGUUCCGUUGUGGGCACGGCACAUCACGCCCAACACAGAAGGACGAAGACACAAUCCCAGACGGUGGCAGCGGAGUGGACGGACAUGACGAUCUAAUCUGGUUCCGGAGGAGGUGGGGGAAGCGGCGGUGUCAAUCGGAGGGCCAUCGCACGGAGCUGGGUGAUGAUGGAGGUGAUGGCGUCUCUCUCCCUGGGCCGGCUAAGCGGCCGCCAAAGCUGCAAGUAACCAGACCAUUUGAACAAAGUAUCAGUCGCACGACGAAGAGGAAUAUGUUGAAUCACAAGUUUAUUCCUAACCAGCUCUCUAUAAUAUGUGUAGGUGGACAUAUAUGAAUAGAUUCAUAUAUAAAGUACAUGCAUAUAUAUUUUUUAGGUAAAACUGGUGUAUAAAGUAGAUGCAUAUACCAUAAUAAAGCUACUGAUGUGAGGAAUAGUUCUUGCCCCUUGCCUUGAUGGAAAUUGGCUUCACUGUGCCUCCAUGACUGUUUUCUCAUUGUGUUGUUCGGCUAAUAUUUAUGUGAAUCAUAGAAGAAAAAAGCGGCUGUAUCCACACCAUCGGUGACCGUGGCUUAGCAUCGAACCACCCCCACACUCUUGCAACAGGUGGCUCAGUUUAAAUGGCUUUCAGUAUUGUGAGAUGAGGUGGAAAUGGAGAGUAUGCUGGUGAAUUUUCAGACGAAUCUGCGAUCGUCUUGAACAAAAGAAAAAAAACAGAGAGCAAUUAUUUGUUACUAAUGACUUUUUUGUUGUAAGUGCAUAAUUUGGAGUUAUGUAUAUGCAACAAAUGUUCAAGUUUUCUUAUAUGUUCAUUCCUUAAUAAUUUUCUGAUUUUUAUUUCGUUAUUCUCUCAAGAUGGAAGGCUAAGGUGUGUGCGGCUUUUCCUUCCAUGGGGCACUAUUAAAUUGUGAAACGUCAGUAUUUUCUGAUGUAGCUGUAACUUGUAUGAGCUUGUGACUUCCUAAUAAAUUCUAACCCUGUUUCUUUUUCUUA
Triticum urartu is the source of this 4591-nucleotide long non-coding RNA. RefSeq lists it as uncharacterized. The record is from RefSeq and is a predicted model, not a curated record. NCBI's taxonomy places the organism in Eukaryota, Viridiplantae, Streptophyta, Magnoliopsida, Poales, Poaceae.